CCUACGGGAGGCAGCAGUAAGGAAUAUUGGUCAAUGGACGCAAGUCUGAACCAGCCAUGCCGCGUGGAGGAUGAAGGUCUCUGGAUUGUAAACUUCUUUUCUCUGGGACGAAACCCCCGAUUUCCAUCGGGCCUGACGGUACCAGAGGAAUAAGCACCGGCUAACUCCGUGCCAGCAGCCGCGGUAAUACGGAGGGUGCAAGCGUUAUCCGGAUUCACUGGGUUUAAAGGGUGCGUAGGCGGGUUUGUAAGUCAGUGGUGAAAUCCCCGAGCUUAACUUGGGAACUGCCAUUGAUACUGCAAGUCUUGAAUUUUCUGGAGGUAAGCGGAAUAUGUCAUGUAGCGGUGAAAUGCUUAGAUAUGACAUAGAACACCCAUUGCGAAGGCAGCUUACUACGGGAAUAUUGACGCUGAGGCACGAAAGCGUGGGGAUCAAACAGGAUUAGAUACCCUGGUAGUCCACGCCCUAAACGAUGAUCACUCGACAUUAGCGAUAUUACGGUUAGUGUCUAAGCGAAAGCAUUAAGUAAUCCACCUGGGAAGUACGACCGCAAGGUUGAAACUCAAAGGAAUUGACGG
RNAcentral lists this ribosomal RNA (578 nucleotides) under uncultured bacterium. RNAcentral's name for it is "bacterial SSU rRNA". It matches the Rfam family "Bacterial small subunit ribosomal RNA", at positions 338 to 916 of the family's 1533-position model. The record is from RNAcentral.